Molecule: long non-coding RNA, 2457 nt
Filed under: Linum usitatissimum (flax)
Lineage: Eukaryota; Viridiplantae; Streptophyta; Magnoliopsida; Malpighiales; Linaceae
Description: long non-coding RNA (LUSI_LNC005209)
Source: RNAcentral
CUAACAUUGCUGCAUAAUGAACACAACAAGUUAUAACCAUAUGAUAAAAGGUUUGAUUCCCAGACAAAUGAUAUGCUCAAGCAUUCACAGAUGACAAAAAAAAACAAAUAAACUAAAUACAAUGGAAAUUUGCCGUAGCAGGCAUGAUUGACUAUGUAGACCCAAGUGGAUUCGAACCACCAUCCUCUCACAUGCACCUGGACCAGGGCAUGGAGCGCUCUACCAUUUUGAGCUUACAGGUCUUUCAGGAAAACCACAAGGCAUUCUCUCAUUGACCGAAUGAAUCAUAACCACCGAACGUUAACGAAGCCUUUCAUUGGCGGAGAAUACCAUGCACGUUUCCAUUGUUCCAGCUACAAGUUUGAAAUUCAUCUCGCCAGAUAGCCGUCUUUAAUCAAUAUGGCUUAUCAUAACCAAAACAACGCUGAAGAUCUCCACCUAUACAUUAGUCGACAUUCCCAUUCUGAACAGAGUGAAAGGUAACACGGUAUCAAACAAUGGUCGUGGAUUUUUCAAAAUAUCUAUUCAGAAGUAAAAUAAUGUUAAAAAUGUUUACUGCCAAAAUUCCACUCAGCCUUGUAGAUGGGUGCCUGCGAGUGAUACUCCAGCCUUGUAGUUUGUACCAAUAUUCUGUGUAUGGUAAUAUUCAUCGUUGUAUUUGUACCAAUAUCACAAGUACCACCGGCACCACCUUAACAGUGACACUUGAGACGGGUUGAAUCACUAGAUCUAAUAAACUCCAAGAAAUCGCCUGAGAUGGAGAAGGAAAUUUAUACACAUACAGCAACAUAUCUGUGAACAGUAAACAAGAAAUAAGAUGUAAUUUCAAUCUUCCAACACAACAUUGCAGGUCUGCAUAUUGGGGAGGCACUGUAAACAGCAUGUCCAACUAACCAAGAAUUAUAGAAAACAUAAGCAGACAGCAACCUAGCAAAUAUAGUUACAAUGAGGAGAGUACCAAUCUGCAGAAAACAUCACAAUCCUGUUGACCCAUGGUACAUGUGGAAGUCCUUGAGAACCACAGCAUCGUCAUGCAUCCGUCAUCCCAGUGAAUGGGUCCUCGCUAGAGUAACAAUUGAAUAAUUGAUGGUACCCCAUAACAUAACAGAUCAUUGAACAACAAUAAGCCUCAGGUCAUAACAAGGAAAUACAAUAUCUACGAAACAACCAUUUGAGAAUUCCUGCAAAUAGACUCUGUAAUACUAUAAAUUGUUCAUGAUACUUCUACUGAAUAGAGAAACCUGUUCAACUAUGCUGCAAAGACGAAGUAGAUACUACGAAGGCUGCUUGAAUUGCUAACAUAAUACUUCACCUCUCAGAGAACUACAGGAACAAACCCAUAAACAAAGGCUAAUCUUACUACACCAGUUAUUCUUCUAUUCUGUUGAGGUUGAGAAUGUCGCACCGACAACAAGUUGACUUCUGAGAUUUACAUCCACCCAAUUGCCCAAAAUCUCCACACGAGAUGUUACAAAUAAAGUGAACACAGGGCUAUAUAGAACAUCAAUAGAGGACCAAGCUGAAUCAACUAGUGACAAUACAAUGGCGCAGUACAUGAUCAACUAUAUCCAAUCGUUCUGCUGAACAAGAAAACAGAGACGGUACGAUGUGCAUAAAGAUUGCCCAGAUGGAUUGUUUUAAUGGAUGGAUCAAACAGAUGUUCUUCGAUUUCAAAUUGUAAUAACUUCAGUAAAAUUUUACCUCAGAAAGAGCAGUCCAUAUACGCCACGUUAAACUAACUGCCAAUUAUAACAAAAGUUCAGAAGAUUGAAAUUCUAUGUUCUGCCAACCACAGUUCUACCACCAAUGGAAUCGUACUGAUUGUAAUAGAUGUCAAUGAGUAGGAUAGCUGGGCGAUAUUGAAGUAGGUAAAAGCAGUCGAUAGGUAAUAGCUAUGCAAAUUAUUACGGGAAAAGCAAUCGAUAGGUAAUACCUUGGCCUGCUGCGAUGGAAACAAUUCGCACGUUAUUGAGAUCCUGAUGCGCCUUUUGGAACGAACCUCUGACAGUUGCUAGAGUAACAACCUUCGAACGUAUGGCGAUCGUGACGGAGAUAAAGGAUUAUAAAGGGGAAAGAAAAGCAAGAGGCGACACACAGCUGGAGGGAAGAACCCGGGCAAAAUAAAAAAAACCCCGUGCGAUCUCCCCUCCGCAACACAAAACGUUUCUUUUUUAUUCAUAGGUGACCUGCCAUGUGAGCGCACCCAACAUGGCAAAGGUCGGAUGACAAAGAUAUCAACGAGGACACCAGGCCGCUGAAUACAGCGCCAUCGUCCUCCCAUAUCUUAUACAUCCAUUACCGACAAUCAUCACAUCCACCGCGUAUCCGCCGUGCACCAUCUUCCAUCAAUCAGCACCAUCAGUACGCCGCUAGAAUCCCAGAUCCGAAGAUCCAGGCAACCGGGAACGAUCUUAUGUAUCUUCUUCGCUACCAUCCCCCAUCGAAAAAGCCCACCAG